AGCGCAGGCGGUGCGGCAAGUCUGAUGUGAAAGCCCGGGGCUCAACCCCGGUACUGCAUUGGAAACUGUCGUACUAGAGUGUCGGAGGGGUAAGCGGAAUUCCUAGUGUAGCGGUGAAAUGCGUAGAUAUUAGGAGGAACACCAGUGGCGAAGGCGGCUUACUGGACGAUAACUGACGCUGAGGCUCGAAAGCGUGGGUAGCAAACA
This 207-nucleotide ribosomal RNA is filed under the name uncultured bacterium. RNAcentral describes it as "partial 16S ribosomal RNA". It matches the Rfam family "Bacterial small subunit ribosomal RNA", at positions 568 to 774 of the family's 1533-position model. The record is from RNAcentral.